UACGUAGGGGGCUAGCGUUGUCCGGAUUUAUUGGGCGUAAAGAGCGUGUAGGCGGCCAGGUAGGUCUGCUGUGAAAUCCCGAGGCUCAACCUCGGGUCUGCAGUCGAUACGAGCAAACUAGAGUGUUGCAGGGGAGACUGGAAUUCCUGGUGUAGCGGUGAAAUGCGUAGAUAUCGGGAGGAACACCAGUGGCGAAGGCGGCUUCCUGGCCUGUUCUUGACGCUGAGGCGCGAAAGCUAGGGGAGCAAACAGG
This 253-nucleotide ribosomal RNA is filed under the name uncultured bacterium. RNAcentral's name for it is "partial 16S ribosomal RNA". It matches the Rfam family "Bacterial small subunit ribosomal RNA", at positions 524 to 776 of the family's 1533-position model. The record is from RNAcentral.